CGCCUGCCCUGUGACGAAAGUUUAACGGCCGCGGUAUUUUGACCGUGCGAAGGUAGCGCAAUCACUUGUCUUUUAAAUAGAGACCUGUAUGAAUGGCAUAACGAGGGCUAAGCUGUCUCCUUUUUCCAGUCAAUGAAAUUGAUCUGCCCGUGCAGAAGCGGGCAUCCCAACAUAAGACGAGAAGACCCUAUGGAGCUUUAGACGCCGGAGUAGACCACGUUAAACCCCCACGACAAGGUGGACCCAAACCAAGUGACCCCUGCUCCUAUGUCUUUGGUUGGGGCGACCGCGGAGAAACAAAAAUCCCCCGUGCAGAAAAGGGCAACCCCCCUAAAGCAAGAGCCACAGCUCUAGAGAACAGAACAUCUGACUAAAAAGAUCCGGCAACGCCGAUCAACGGACCGAGUUACCCUAGGGAUAACAGCGCAAUCCCCUUUUAGAGCCCAUAUCGACAAGGGGGUUUACGACCUCGAUGUUGGAUCAGGACUUCCUAAUGGUGCAGCCGCUAUUA
This 511-nucleotide ribosomal RNA is filed under the name Ctenogobiops sp. SOK-2013. RNAcentral describes it as "partial 16S ribosomal RNA". It matches the Rfam family "Bacterial large subunit ribosomal RNA", at positions 1856 to 2567 of the family's 2925-position model. The record is from RNAcentral. Lineage: Eukaryota; Metazoa; Chordata; Actinopteri; Gobiiformes; Gobiidae.